RNAcentral lists this non-coding RNA (134 nucleotides) under uncultured Oribacterium sp. RNAcentral's name for it is "FMN riboswitch (RFN element)". It matches the Rfam family "FMN riboswitch aptamer (RFN element)". From Rfam's summary of the family: The RFN element is a highly conserved domain that is found frequently in the 5'-untranslated regions of prokaryotic mRNAs that encode for flavin mononucleotide (FMN) biosynthesis and transport proteins. This element is a metabolite-dependent riboswitch that directly binds FMN in the absence of proteins. The record is from RNAcentral. Lineage: Bacteria; Bacillati; Bacillota; Clostridia; Lachnospirales; Lachnospiraceae.
UUCUUCAGGGCGGGGUGCGAUUCCCCACCGGCGGUAAAGUCCGCGACCUGUAAGGAUGUUUCGCCUUUUGCGAUUCCUUGCAGCUGAAUCGGUGCAAUUCCGAUACCGACAGUAUAGUCUGGAUGGAAGAGGAG